CCAGCUCGUCUGGGGGAAUCCCAAGGUGUCCCCAGGCCAGCCGAGAAACAUAGGCCCUCCAGCGUGUCCUGGGUCUUCCUCUGGGCCUCCUCUAAUUCAAACUAAAACAAACAAAACAACAACUGGGCAACAGACCUAAAUGCCUACUUGGAUACAAAGAAAGAACUAAAUGAAGUUGCUUCCGCUUGGAACCACCACAGGAUACGUCCAGCACACAAUUCACGAAGUCCUCACGGCCGCCCAUCCAUAAUGUACACAGUACCUCAGGUGUAUGGAACCAGAGACUAUCUACACAGCAUCGAUCUGAACAGGGUUGAAGCCUGUUUGGAAAACUGUGUUUUCAAAGACUUUCCAUGCGAUGAAGACGUCUUCAGUAUCUGUGUAGACCUCUUCAGUAUCUGUGUAGACCUGAUUUCAGAGCAUAACCUGGAUGUCAGAUGAUGUGUUUGCAACAACUGAUCUAUAUAUAAGACUCAGACAGCUAAUUACCAGUGAUUUGGAACUGCAGUGAUACAUGUAAAAACAUUUUGUUGUGUUGACAGUUUGCUACCUUGUCACUAACUUGGACUUCAGUAGACAUUUCCUGGGAGUACCUGUAUUUGCUUCAACACAGUGUUGCACAAGUGUAAAGAUGGGUCAAAGUCAUUCACAAGCUCUGUAACUAAGUAAGAAGAGACACUAAAAUAAGAUCAAUGCAUGCUGAGCUGAUAAAAUAAGUCUGACAUUAGAAAAAUAUAUUGAUACAUUGCACUAGUAUGGUCAGAUGACUUUUCAUUUUUAUAUUUUCCCUUUAUUAUCAAUAUCACUGCAUUAGAGUUUGAACAUUAUGCUGAUUAUUAAAGAGGAAAUAAAGGAAUUGAAAACUGC
Girardinichthys multiradiatus is the source of this 867-nucleotide long non-coding RNA. RefSeq lists it as uncharacterized. The transcript has 2 exons. NCBI's taxonomy places the organism in Eukaryota, Metazoa, Chordata, Actinopteri, Cyprinodontiformes, Goodeidae. The record is from RefSeq and is a predicted model, not a curated record.